GUUCUUUCCAAGAACAAUAAUCCUUCAUCAACUCAUAACCACAAUAUACAACCUUGCACUCUUAAAAGACUACUCAAAAUACAAUAAUUUCCAUCCAACACCAGGAAUAAUAGACUUCACUCCAACCAAUCUGGAUUCACAGAAUCUAUGUAAUCACAGACUUUCUCUGUCUAAAACUCACACAACUCUCAAUAAACAAAAAUCAUAAUCUUCCAUCCAUAAUCAAUCUUCCAAUAACUUCUCAUAUAAUUCAAUCAUAUAAUACUUCAAUUACAUAAUCAAUAAUUGAUAAAUCAAUCUCUGAUUUAUUCCACAGAUUCACUUCUCAGUAUUCAAAAAGUAUCCAUUACUCUUCAAUAAUAAAAAAAAUAAAAAAAACAAAGAGGUAGCACCAAACUUAACCUCGGCUUAUGACUAUAACAGUCUAGCCUCCAACAAACUUCUACAACUUUUAUAUAAUUGCUAUUGAUUUCCAAAUCCUAAUCGUAAUCCUGUAGUAAACAGCUUUUAAUAAAUAAAUCAACCAUCCGUCCUCAUCAACUGACUAUUCUAUGGGCUAUUAAUCUAUUUUAUCAAUAUCUUAUAAAAACGAACUAAUAUCUAUUCUACAUAGCCCCAC
Molecule: long non-coding RNA, 619 nt
Filed under: Physcomitrium patens
Lineage: Eukaryota; Viridiplantae; Streptophyta; Bryopsida; Funariales; Funariaceae
Description: long non-coding RNA (PPAT_LNC001071)
Source: RNAcentral